RNAcentral lists this long non-coding RNA (659 nucleotides) under Ananas comosus (pineapple). RNAcentral describes it as "long non-coding RNA (ACOM_LNC033950)". The record is from RNAcentral. Lineage: Eukaryota; Viridiplantae; Streptophyta; Magnoliopsida; Poales; Bromeliaceae.
CGAACCCACUGAACCGGUCCAUCUCUUCUUUCUAUUAUUUUUUCUUGAACUGAACCGGCUUGUUUUGUUAUAUACUUUGUGUUGAAUCUAGUUCUUCACUGAACCAGCCCACCUCUUCUUUCUAUUCUUUUUUUGAAUCAAACUGAUCUACUUUGUUAUAUACUCUUUUUGAACCCAAAUUUUCUCUCUUUAUUUGAACCGAACCCGCCCAGUUCUUACCUUUUUUUUUUUUUAUUUCUUUAUUUGAAGCAAAUGGGCUUACUUGAAUCCGGUUCUUCUCUUUACCCUAAGUCCUAAACCGUUCUUCGACCAAUUUCUUCAUUUUCUAUUUCCUACUCGCCGUUUCCACUGCUGUAUUAAAGAUCCUUCCACAAUUGUCCAUUCACUUUCAUCUCCAUUCUUAUUCUUAUAUAAUAACAUCUGCAUUCUCUUUUGUUCCAACACUUUUUGCGAUAAUUUUUUUUCGACGGUAAAAUAUGCUUACUUGCUACUCUGUUUUAUUAUAUUCCGUACCAUAUACAUUUUAAAAUUUUAAUUUAUUAUUAUUAUUUUUUAUCUCAGAAAAAUUUUAAAAUUUUGCUCCUAUUAUCUAUCCGCCAAAUUGCGCGGAUCUCUACACUAGUUAAUCUAAUUGUAAUUCUUGUUUAGUUAGCCUCAAU